RNAcentral lists this ribosomal RNA (429 nucleotides) under Verrucomicrobiota bacterium. RNAcentral describes it as "Verrucomicrobia bacterium partial 16S ribosomal RNA". It matches the Rfam family "Bacterial small subunit ribosomal RNA", at positions 355 to 776 of the family's 1533-position model. Lineage: Bacteria; Pseudomonadati; Verrucomicrobiota. The record is from RNAcentral.
UAGGGAAUCUUCCGCAAUGGACGAAAGUCUGACGGAGCAACGCCGCGUGAGUGUAGAAGGAUUUCGGUUCGUAAAACUCUGUUGUUAGGGAAGAAAAAAUGUAUAGUAACUAUAUACAAAAGAGACGGUACCUAACCAGAAAGCCACGGCUAACUACGUGCCAGCAGCCGCGGUAAUACGUAGGUGGCAAGCGUUGUCCGGAAUUAUUGGGCGUAAAGCGCGCGCAGGUGGUUUAGAAAGUCUGAUGUGAAAGCCCACGGCUCAACCGUGGAGGGUCAUUGGAAACUAAUAAACUUGAGUGCAGGAGAGAAAAGUGGAAUUCCUAGUGUAGCGGUGAAAUGCGUAGAGAUUAGGAGGAACACCGGUGGCGAAAGCGGCUUUUUGGCCUGCAACUGACACUGAGGCGCGAAAGCGUGGGGAGCAAACAGG